UACAGAGGGUGCGAGCGUUGUCCGGAAUCACUGGGCGUAAAGGGCGCGUAGGUGGUGGCUUAAGCGUGCGGUGAAAGCUCGGGGCUCAACCCCGAGUCGGCCGUGCGAACUGGGCUCACUGGAGCAUAGUAGAGCCAGGUGGAAUUCCGGGUGUAGCGGUGGAAUGCGUAGAGAUCCGGAAGAACACCGGUGGCGAAGGCGGUCUGCUGGGCCAAGACUGACGCUGAGGCGCGACAGCGUGGGGAGCAAACAGG
This 254-nucleotide ribosomal RNA is filed under the name uncultured bacterium. Its description in RNAcentral is "partial 16S ribosomal RNA". It matches the Rfam family "Bacterial small subunit ribosomal RNA", at positions 524 to 776 of the family's 1533-position model. The record is from RNAcentral.